Long non-coding RNA from Daphnia carinata, 1196 nucleotides. RefSeq lists it as uncharacterized. Lineage: Eukaryota; Metazoa; Arthropoda; Branchiopoda; Diplostraca; Daphniidae. The transcript is spliced from 4 exons. The record is from RefSeq and is a predicted model, not a curated record.
CAGCCAUUGCUAGACUACUGCUUAAGUAAAAACGCUGCGAUUUAUGAAAACAAGUUCAGCUCAUAUGUAUAUAGGAAUUGGCAUAAUUUUAUUUUGCCAGUAAUUGAAGAAAAAACAAAUAGCACAUUGCUUCGAAUUUUAUAUGGAACCUGUUCACUAGGAAAACGAUUUAUGAGUUGUGGUUCUCUCGUUUACCUGCCUCUCUACCUCCAACAGUAAAAGAUUCAACUUAAGUUAAAGAAUAGCUGAGCAACUGACUUUCUAGCCUGUGCAUGUGUUGCAUGUCACCGGAAGAUGAACAAGUUACUUGAGCACUAUCAGUUGUAGAAGGUUUGAAAUUGCUUAGGAUUUGAGUUUUAUUUAUCGAAAUUGAUGGGAAGGAGGAAUUGCUAAAAGGCGGGGCAAGAAUAUUGGCUGCUACGUCAUUACCUGUAAUUUAGACGUGUCGUCGGUGGACCCAUGGGAUCGUCUUCUUCUGAAUACUACACUACUCCGGCGCCUUACUACACCACGACAUAUGUCCGCCUAGCUACUACACCACCAAUGCCACCGAGUACUACACCACUAAGGCUCUCCAACACGACAUCACGACGUAUGCAGCCCCCUUUUACUACACUAUAAAGGCGCCCGAAUAUUACACCACGAGAUAUGCAGCUCCGGCUUACUAUACUAAGGCUCCUCAAUACUACACCACAAAAGCCGUGGAAUAUUAAACUACUGCAGCCGCGGAGUAUUACGAAAAGAAAGCUGAGUACUAUACAACCACUUACGCAGCUCCAGCUUACUACACUGAUGCUCCUCAAUACUGCACUAGAAAGGCACCCGAGUACUACACCCUACCGCAUGCUAUACCAAGCUAUUACACUGAAGUGCAACACUACCCAACAACAUAUGCUACUCCCAGAUACUACACCGAGGCAAUGAAAUACUACUCAGCUCCAAGCUACUACACUACCAUUUACGCCGCUCUCAGUUACUACACUACCACUUACGCCGCUCCCAGUGACUACACAGAGGCUCCAGCUUAGUAAAAAAAACAACGUACGCUACUCCCCGCUAUUACCCUGAGCCAUCGAAGUACUAUUAAUCAUGAAAAUUCCCUUGUCCUCCAAGCUCCAUGACUGGAUAAUUGAGUGUUGUUUCAUCACAUCUCCUCGUUUGAAAAUGAGUAUUUCCCUGCCACAUAUUUAUGCUUU